This is a non-coding RNA of Trichonephila clavipes, 79 nucleotides long. NCBI's taxonomy places the organism in Eukaryota, Metazoa, Arthropoda, Arachnida, Araneae, Nephilidae. The record is from the annotation of a GenBank genome assembly.
GUCCCUGUAGCGCAAUGGAAAGCGCGCGCGCGUUGGACUUCUAAUCGAAAGGUCGUGGGUUCGAAUCCCACCUGAGAUG